RNAcentral lists this long non-coding RNA (493 nucleotides) under Homo sapiens (human). RNAcentral's name for it is "HSALNT0299242". Lineage: Eukaryota; Metazoa; Chordata; Mammalia; Primates; Hominidae. The record is from RNAcentral.
CUCUCGAAUAGAGACCCACGCACGGAAGGAUGAUACACUGUGAUUCCCCGACGUGGGCCUGCAGCAAGAGACGGGUGCUAACAGCGUCCGAGCCAAUCCGUGCUUAUCACACAUGCAGUCAAUGAACACCUCACAAAUGCAAGGUUCACAUGCAGUCUUCGAUGAACACAUCGAUCGCAUCCAGCAGUAUGUCUGUAUUGGAAAAGUCCUUCCAUAGCACCCAGUAAUGAAAAGGAAUGUGGCGGGGAGCAGUACUGGACAGUAAAACUAAAAACACCAGGAAGAUCACAGUGAGAUCAGCAGAGCCCUAGAAUGGCAAAUCCAUGACAAAGAAAAUUUCUGAUGAAUAAAAACGUGCCUGGGUCCAGGCCAGCAAUUGGCUUCUUUCAGACACUAUUGACUGCAACAAACCCUAGCACAAGGAGAGGGUCUAACGAGAAACUUGUUCAGAGGAUGCUGACCCAUCCAUCAGUGAGCACAGCCAACCCAAAAA